This 773-nucleotide ribosomal RNA is filed under the name uncultured Neocallimastigales. RNAcentral describes it as "partial large subunit ribosomal RNA". It matches the Rfam family "Eukaryotic large subunit ribosomal RNA", at positions 24 to 643 of the family's 3401-position model. The record is from RNAcentral. Lineage: Eukaryota; Fungi; Neocallimastigomycota; Neocallimastigomycetes; Neocallimastigales.
UAUCUCUGUAGAGUCUGCAUAUCAAUAAGCGGAGGAAAAGAAACUAACAAGGAUUCCCUUAGUAACGGCGAGUGAAGCGGGAAGAGCUCAAAUUUGAAAUCUUCAAGGUUCUACCUUGACGAAUUGUAGUUUAAAGAAGUGUUUUCUGUUAGAUGAGUAGCAAAAGUUCCUUGGAAUGGGACAUCAUAGAGGGUGAGAAUCCCGUAUUUGGUUAUUCAUUCUAGCUUUGUGAUACACUUUCAAAGAGUCGGAUUGUUCGGGAAUGCAGUCCAAAAUGGGUGGUAAAUUUCAUCUAAAGCUAAAUAUUGGCGAGAGACCGAUAGCGAACAAGUACCGUGAGGGAAAGAUGAAAAGAACUUUGAAAAGAGAGUUAAACAGUACGUGAAAUUGUCAAAAGGGAAGCGUUUGACACCAGUGUUGUUUUUCCGAAAAUCAAUUACGAAUGGCUUGAUUUUGUGUCGUAUUGACCUUAUCAGCUUUCUUCACUUUUUUCGAGUCUUUCUUAAUGCACUUUUCGGUUAACAAGUCAACAUCAAUUUCUUUUGUUGUAAAAGAGUAUUCGGAAGGUGGCUUUCUUUUCGGAGAAAGUGUUUAUAGCCCUAUACUUCUACAAUCGGAGAGAUUGAGGUCUGCAGCGUAGAUCCUUCGGGGUUAGAUACACUUGUGCUAAGUUGUAGCUUUUCAUAGACAACUUGUUGACUAUGUUUAGUCAUGCGGCUUACUCGCUUGUGCUAUUUUACCUACGCUUAGGAUGUUGACUGAUAUGUAGUCGU